UUGGUUGGUGCUGCAGUGGGCCCCUGCCCCAAGUGAGCAACUGUCAGAGGAGGACCGUUAGUGGAUCUGCUCAGCUAUUGGUUGGUGCUGCAGUGGGCCCCUGCCCCAAGUGAGCAACUGUCAGAGGAGGACCGUUAGUGGAUCUGCUCAGCUAUUGGUUGGUGCUGCAGUGGGCCCCUGCCCCAAGUGAGCAACUGUCAGAGGAGGACCGUUAGUGGAUCUGCUCAGCUAUUGGUUGGUGCUGCAGUGGGCCCCUGCCCCAAGUGAGCAACUGUCAGAGGAGGACCGUUAGUGGAUCUGCUCAGCUAUUGGUUGGUGCUGCAGUGGGCCCCUGCCCCAAGUGAGCAACUGUCAGAGGAGGACCGUUAGUGGAUCUGCUCAGCUAUUGGUUGGUGCUGCAGUGGGCCCCUCCCCCAAGUGACCAGCUAUCAAAAGGCGACCCUUAGUGGCUAUUCAGCCAACAGUCAGUGGAGUGGUGGUCCUCAGGCGGAGAGCGAGUCAGGACCUGGACCUCAGAGGGUGAAAGCUGUUCCUGGGGACCUUGCACUUUCUUGUCAGAAUAAAGAGUAACAAUCUGUUUGGUGGAGAUUUAUUCGAACCUCAUUACCUGACCAUGACCUGACCUGAAGAACAAGACCUCUGACACCAAGACGUUUGCAACAACUCACCAUGCCCCUCCCUCACCUUUCCUAGGGAAGGGCUUUGCUGAAAGCUUACAAGGAGUGUGAGGUCUCAAAGGCAUGAAACACCCAUCUCCUUCCGCAGCUCUCAAUAAAACUUUCUUCCAGA
This is a long non-coding RNA of Odocoileus virginianus texanus, 789 nucleotides long. RefSeq lists it as uncharacterized. The record is from RefSeq and is a predicted model, not a curated record. NCBI's taxonomy places the organism in Eukaryota, Metazoa, Chordata, Mammalia, Artiodactyla, Cervidae.